Molecule: transfer RNA, 85 nt
Filed under: Candidatus Moraniibacteriota bacterium
Lineage: Bacteria; Candidatus Moraniibacteriota
Description: tRNA-Ser
Rfam family: tRNA
About the family: Transfer RNA (tRNA) molecules are approximately 80 nucleotides in length. Their secondary structure includes four short double-helical elements and three loops (D, anti-codon, and T loops). Further hydrogen bonds mediate the characteristic L-shaped molecular structure. tRNAs have two regions of fundamental functional importance: the anti-codon, which is responsible for specific mRNA codon recognition, and the 3' end, to which the tRNAs corresponding amino acid is attached (by aminoacyl-tRNA synthetases). tRNAs cope with the degeneracy of the genetic code in two manners: having more than one tRNA (with a specific anti-codon) for a particular amino acid; and 'wobble' base-pairing, i.e. permitting non-standard base-pairing at the 3rd anti-codon position.
Source: RNAcentral
GGAAGGGUGGCCGAGUGGUUGAAGGCACACGCUUGGAAAGCGUGCAUACCGCAAGGUAUCGCGGGUUCGAAUCCCGCCUCUUCCG